AGCGCGCCAGCACCAGAAGCUCGUGGUGUAUUUCUGUCUUGGCAGAUGCACAUUCUGUUCUAAAGGUCUGUUCAUCUGAUGCCUUCCUUGUUUUCAGGAUGUGAAGGCGAUCUGGCUGUGACGUCGGUUUUCCCCCCCAACCGGAUCACUGGGCUUGAUUGUGCUGAUCGGGCUAGGACCUACAGACUGAUAAUGUUCUUACCUGCCAAAAUGAAAUACUCCUUUAGCUUCUGCCCCUGCACUGCAAAGUUUGGAAGAGCAAGAACCGGGAAUUUCCUUUAGACUCUGGCAUCUACUAAUAUGAUCAUCACACAAGAGUACAAGCAGGGGAAGAGGGAGAGGCAGCCUCCCCACAGAGCAAGGACCCUGAUGUGGGGCUCCGUUCCAGGACUGUGGGAUCAUGAACUGGCCUGUCAGGAGAUGCUUAACUGGCUAAGCUACACAGGUGUCCCUAUCAAUACCAAUUCUUUCUUCCUUGAACUUUUUUUAUACUACUUUUGUCUACACUUUCUGCUCCUCAAUCCAGCAAUCAGUCCGCUAAUGCUCAAAGACAAGAUCGAUCAACCAAUGAGCAUCACUGAAUCUUUACUCAAGGCAGUAAGGAAUAUCACUGGAGACUCCAGACCCUGUCUUCUACCGCACGGGAAAACAACUAUCUCCCUUCUCAUCCUCAUAUCCAUCACAGCAGAAGACUGGGGAUUUACUUUCUGCUGAUCCAAGAGACCCUGGGCGUAAUACCACCCGGCUCAACAGAGAGUAGAGAGGCUAUAGUGAAAAUACAGUUAUAUGAAAGUUCAUGUAUGAAAAAUGAGACUCCACCCCUACAGGCUAAUUUAUCAAAGAACCUCAAAUUGCUCAAAUAAUCUAGAGAAGGAGAAACAAACAUAGAGAUCUCACACAUCCCGUUUUCAAAACUUGUUAACGAAGCAAUAGCAAUCAAAACAGUAUGGUGCCGAUAAUGAAGACUGACAAAUAAGCCAAUGGAACAGAAUAGAGAGCCCUGAAGUAAACCUUUGUCUACAUGACCAAAUGAUCUCUGACAAGAAUGUCAAGGUUACACAAUUUGUAAAGGAUAGUUUUUCAAUAAGUUGUGCGGGGAAAACUGGGUACCUACAUGCAAAAGAAUAAAUUUGGACCCUCACUUCAUACCAUGUACAGAAAUUAAUUCACAACAGGCUGAAGCUCUAUAUGUAAUAUCUGAAAAUAUGAAACUCCUAGAAUAAAAUAUAGAUCAAAAUUUCAUGACAGCAGAUUUGGCAUUACCUUGGAUAUGAAAAGUACAGUCAACAAAAGCAAAGAGACAAAUGGACUACAACACACUUAAAAACUUCUGCACAGGAAGGGAAACAAAGUAAAAGAGAAACUUAUAGAAUCAGAGGGAAUAUUUUCAAACCAUAUAUCUGGUAAAGAAUUAAUAUCCAGAAUACAUACACCUUUACAUUUAUUUCAGCAUUAUUUAUAAUAGCCAAGAUGUGGAAGCAACCUAAGGGUUCACUGAUAGAUGAAUGGAUAAAGAAGAUGUAGUAUGUAUGUGUAUAUGUGUGUAUAUAUAAAAUCCAUGUGUAUAGUGGAUAUAUAAUAGAAUAUUACUUAGCCAUAAAAAGAAUUAAACCUUGCCAUUCAUGACAACAUGGAUGUAUGCAGAGUAUUAUGGUAAGUGAAGUAAGUCAGACAGAAGAAGACAAAUACUGUAUGAUUUCACUUAUAUACCACAUUUGAGAAAAAAACAAACAAAAAACUCCAAAA
Molecule: long non-coding RNA, 1746 nt
Organism: Mustela lutreola (European mink)
Lineage: Eukaryota; Metazoa; Chordata; Mammalia; Carnivora; Mustelidae
Exons: 5
Source: RefSeq, a predicted model, not a curated record